This 276-nucleotide ribosomal RNA is filed under the name uncultured bacterium. RNAcentral's name for it is "partial 16S ribosomal RNA". It matches the Rfam family "Bacterial small subunit ribosomal RNA", at positions 29 to 334 of the family's 1533-position model. The record is from RNAcentral.
AACGAACGCUGGCGGCAGGCCCAACACAUGCAAGUCGAGCGCCCCGCAAGGGGAGCGGCAGACGGGUGAGUAACGCGUGGGAAUCUACCUUUUGCUACGGAAUAACUCAGGGAAACUUGUGCCAAUACCGUAUGUGCCCUUUUGGGGAAAGAUUUAUCGGCAAAGGAUGAGCCCGCGUUGGAUUAGCUAGUUGGUGGGGUAAAGGCCUACCAAGGCGACGAUCCAUAGCUGGUCUGAGAGGGUGAACGGCCACAUUGGGACUGAGACACGGCCCAA